Molecule: long non-coding RNA, 612 nt
Organism: Camponotus floridanus (Florida carpenter ant)
Lineage: Eukaryota; Metazoa; Arthropoda; Insecta; Hymenoptera; Formicidae
Exons: 4
Source: RefSeq, a predicted model, not a curated record
UGAAGAUCGUUUAUCACUUUAAUACAUAGAUGGAAUACUUGUCGUAUAUCGAAAAAGGAACAGUGUGAAACUUACAAAUGACGUAAUUAUUCAUACUAUUAGCCUAUAAAUUUGGAUUGUGGUUUUUCUGAGGAUGUUGAUGCUUGUACACAAACUGACAGCUUACAUAAUUUGUCACUCACUCAAGAAGAAUUUCGCGCCCAAUUUGUGUACAAAAAUGGGUAGAAUAAUGGAGCCAGGGAUGCAUGCCAGGCCGAUAUACACGGUAUGCAAAUAAACGGAGGAUGCGAUCAUUGUAUCAUCGCAACCAUAGGGAUCGAACAAGGUCCCAUUGUCCGGUAAAGCAGACACUAUGCACACCGAUGUGGUCUCACCGGGUCUCACGUGUUCGAACUGUUCGAAUCUAUUAGGAGAACAUACAACAAAAUCCUGGCGGAGAGGUUACCUGGUGAAUAAUUCGGGGAACCAAACCAUUAGAGUGUAAUAGCUGCUGGUGAGACCGAAUUGAAUAGCGCAGGCGAGCACCGUGUUGCGCAAAUAAGGCGGCUUGCAAAGUGCGCUCGUCAGAUCUCGUAUUUCCGUGAAGAGGACCUUCAGAUCCUUCCGUUUGUG